This 75-nucleotide transfer RNA is filed under the name Acidobacteriota bacterium. RNAcentral describes it as "Acidobacteria bacterium (groundwater metagenome) tRNA-Val". It matches the Rfam family "tRNA". Rfam says of the family: Transfer RNA (tRNA) molecules are approximately 80 nucleotides in length. Lineage: Bacteria; Pseudomonadati; Acidobacteriota. The record is from RNAcentral.
AGGCGCGUAGCUCAGUGGAAGAGCGCUACCUCGACACGGUAGAGGUCAGCGGUUCAAUCCCGCUCGCGCCUACCA